CUUCUAAAGCUAAAUAUUGGCCAGAGACCGAUAGCGCACAAGUAGAGUGAUCGAAAGAUGAAAAGCACUUUGAAAAGAGGGUUAAAUAGCACGUGAAAUUGUUGAAAGGGAAGCGUUUGCGACCAGACCUUUUCCUAGCGGAUCAUCCGGUGUUCUCACCGGUGCACUUCGCUAAGUUUAGGCCAGCAUCGGUUUCUGUAGGGGGAUAAAAGCUCUGGGAACGUAGCUCCUCCGGGAGUGUUAUAGCCCUCUGCAUAAUACCUUUACGGGGACCGAGGACCGCGCUUCGGCAAGGAUGCUGGCGUAAUGGUCGUCAACGACCCGUCUUGAAACACGGACCAAGGAGUCGAACAUUUGUGCGAGUGUUUGGGUGUUAAACCCUCACGCGUAAUGAAAGUGAACGGAGGUGAGAGCCCUUACGGGUGCAUCAUCGACCGAUCCUGAUGUCUUCGGAUGGAUUUGAGUAAGAGCAUAACUGUUCGGACCCGAAAGAUGGUGAACUAUGCGUGGAUAGGGUGAAGCCAGAGGAAACUCUGGUGGAGGCUCGCAGCGGUUCUGACGUGCAAAUCGAUCGUCAAAUCUGCGCAUGGGGGCGAAAGACUUAUCGAACCAUCUAGUAGCUGGUUACCGCCGAAGUUUCCCUCAGGAUAGCAGUGUUGUUCUUCAGUUUUAUGAGGUAAAGCGAAUGAUUAGGGACUCGGGGGCGCUUUUUUGCCUUCAUCCAUUCUCAAACUUUAAAUAUGUAAGAAGCCCUUGUUACUUAAUUGAACGUGGGCAUUCGAAUGUACCAACACUAGUGGGCCAUUUUUGGUAAGCAGAACUGGCGAUGCGGGAUGAACCGAACGCGGGGUUAAGGUGCCGGAGUGGACGCUCAUCAGACACCACAAAAGGUGUUAGCACAUUUAGACAAUAGGACGGUGGCCAUGGAAGUCGGAAUCCGCUAAGGACUGUGUAACAACUCACCUAUCGAAUGUGCUAGCCCUGAAAAUGGAUGGCGCUCAAGCGUCCCACCCAUACCUCGCCCUCAGGGUAGAAACGAUGCCCUGAGGAGUAGGCGGCCGUGGGGGUCAGUGACGAAGCCUAGGGCGUGAGCCCGGGUCGAACGGCCUCUAGUGCAGAU
This 1120-nucleotide ribosomal RNA is filed under the name Xylaria ellisii. RNAcentral describes it as "Xylaria sp. JBT-2019a partial large subunit ribosomal RNA". It matches the Rfam family "Eukaryotic large subunit ribosomal RNA", at positions 307 to 1449 of the family's 3401-position model. The record is from RNAcentral. Lineage: Eukaryota; Fungi; Ascomycota; Sordariomycetes; Xylariales; Xylariaceae.